CACUAAGAAGCUAAAUUGGGAUAAGCGUUAGCCUUUUAAGCUAAAAACUGGUGGCCCCCAACCACCCCUAGUGA
This 74-nucleotide transfer RNA is filed under the name Moringua edwardsi (spaghetti eel). RNAcentral's name for it is "tRNA-Lys". It matches the Rfam family "tRNA". Rfam says of the family: Transfer RNA (tRNA) molecules are approximately 80 nucleotides in length. Their secondary structure includes four short double-helical elements and three loops (D, anti-codon, and T loops). Lineage: Eukaryota; Metazoa; Chordata; Actinopteri; Anguilliformes; Moringuidae. The record is from RNAcentral.